RNAcentral lists this ribosomal RNA (494 nucleotides) under uncultured bacterium. RNAcentral's name for it is "partial 16S ribosomal RNA". It matches the Rfam family "Bacterial small subunit ribosomal RNA", at positions 28 to 507 of the family's 1533-position model. The record is from RNAcentral.
GACGAACGCUGGCGGCGUGCUUAACACAUGCAAGUCGAACGGUGAAGCGCCUUCCUUUUUGGUGGGUGUGGAUGAGUGGCGAACGGGUGAGUAACACGUGAGUAACCUGCCCCCUUCUUCUGGAUAACCGCAUGAAAGUGUGGCUAAUACGGGAUAUUCUGGGUCUGUCGCAUGAUGGGUCUGGGAAAGAUAUUGUUUCGGUGGGGGAUGGGCUCGCGGCCUAUCAGCUUGUUGGUGGGGUGAUGGCCUACCAAGGCGGUGACGGGUAGCCGGCCUGAGAGGGUGGACGGUCACACUGGGACUGAGACACGGCCCAGACUCCUACGGGAGGCAGCAGUGGGGAAUAGUGCACAAUGGGCGCAAGCCUGAUGUAGCGACGCCGCGUGAGGGAUGGAGGCCUUCGGGUUGUGAACCUCUCUCGCCAGUGAAGCAGGCCUGCCUCGUUUGUGGGUGGGUUGACGGUAGCUGGAUAAGAAGCGCCGGCUAACUACGUG